UGUGGCCGGCGGAUGGCGAAAGGACGGAAGUUGGGAAUUAACAGGAACGAACGGUUUCUCGGGAGCUAUAGCAAUGGACACGCUCAAGGCUCCUAUAAUGGAGAUGACUCAUCGGAGCUCCGUGAAGAAGAAGUAUGGUCAAUAAUCGACAGCAAAAACUCAGCCGACGGUGAAGAUGAGAAUUACGGGAACAUUACAGUCAGAACUCGCCGGAGAUCGACCCCGCGCGAUGAGCGAUACGUCGGUGGAGUGUCAAUUGCUUUUCAAGAUUCUGGAAGGACGGCUACGGCGGUGGCAACGUCGCAGAGGAAUAAUCCACGUGGACGCCACGUGUCGGCAUCGGCUCCGAUGAACGUGCCGGAUUGGAGCAAGAUUCUACGGGCAGAGUCGGUGGAGUCGCUGCCGGAGAUCGACGACGGAGGUUACUACAACAACGAUGAGGCGGAGAUGGUGCCGCCGCACGAGUAUUUAGCGAGGGAAUACGCGAGGAGCCGGAACGCGGCGGCGGCGGCGACGUCGGUUUUCGAGGGCGUCGGCCGGACUCUAAAAGGGCGAGAUAUGAGGAGGGUUCGUGAUGCGGUUUGGAG
This 587-nucleotide unclassified non-coding RNA is filed under the name Hevea brasiliensis (rubber tree). Lineage: Eukaryota; Viridiplantae; Streptophyta; Magnoliopsida; Malpighiales; Euphorbiaceae. The record is from RNAcentral.